Salvelinus fontinalis (brook trout) is the source of this 3974-nucleotide long non-coding RNA. RefSeq lists it as uncharacterized. The transcript has 2 exons. The record is from RefSeq and is a predicted model, not a curated record. NCBI's taxonomy places the organism in Eukaryota, Metazoa, Chordata, Actinopteri, Salmoniformes, Salmonidae.
UGUCUACCUGCUAGUUCCAGGGCUGUCUGAAGGUGUUGUGACUAGCCAGUGGUCCUGUCACGUCUUACUGAGGUUGUACCUGCUAGUACCUGGACUGUCUACCUUCUACCUGCUAGUACCUGGACUGUCUACCUUCUACCUGCUAGUACCUGGACUGUCUACCUGCUAGUACCUGGACUGUCUACCUUCUACCUGCUAGUACCUGGACUGUCUACCUGCUAGUACCUGGACUGUCUACCUUCUACCUGCUAGUACCUGGACUGUCUACCUUCUACCUGCUCUGGAUAGAGGUUUUCCUGCUAGUACCUGGACUGUCUACCUGCUAGUACCUGGACUGUCUACCUUCUACCUGCUAGUACCUGGGCUGUCUACCUGCUAGUACCUGGGCUGUCUACCUGCUAGUACCUGGACUGUCUACCUUCUACCUGCUCUGGAUAGAGGUAGUUCCUGCUAGUACCUGGACUGUCUACCUUCUACCUGCUCUGGAUAGAGGUAGUACCUGCUAGUACCUGGACUGUCUACCUGCUAGUACCUGGACUGUCUACCUUCUACCUGCUAGUACCUGGACUGUCUACCUUCUACCUGCUCUGGAUAGAGGUUUUCCUGCUAGUACCAGGGCUGACUACCUGCUAGUACCAGGGCUGACUACCUGCUAGUACCUGGGCUGUCUAGCUGCUAGUACCAGGGCUGUCUAGCUGCUAGUACCAGGGCUGUCUAGCUGCUAGUACCAGGGCUGUCUAGCUGCUAGUACCUGGGCUGUCUACCUGCUAGUACCAGGGCUGUCUAGCUGCUAGUACCAGGGCUGUCUAGCUGCUAGUACCAGGGCUGUCUAGCUGCUAGUACCUGGGCUGUCUACCUGCUAGUACCAGGGCUGUCUAGCUGCUAGUACCAGGGCUGUCUACCUGCUAGUACCAGGGCUGUCUACCUGCUAGUACCAGGGCUGUCUAGCUGCUAGUUCCAGGGCUGUCUACCUGCUAGUACCAGGGCUGUCUACCUGCUAGUACCAGGGCUGUCUACCUGCUAGUACCAGGGCUGUCUACCUGCUAGUACCUGGGCUGUCUACCUGCUAGUACCUGGGCUGUCUACCUGCUAGUACCUGGGCUGUCUACCUGCUAGUACCUGGGCUGUCUACCUGCUAGUUCCAGGGCUGUCUACCUGCUAGUACCAGGGCUGUCUACCUGCUAGUACCAGGGCUGUCUACCUGCUAGUACCAGGGCUGUCUACCUGCUAGUACCUGGGCUGUCUACCUGCUAGUUCCAGGGCUGUCUACCUGCUAGUACCAGGGCUGUCUACCUGCUAGUACCAGGGCUGUCUACCUGCUAGUUCCAGGGCUGUCUACCUGCUAGUUCCAGGGCUGUCUACCUGCUAGUUCCAGGGCUGUCUACCUGCUAGUACCAGGGCUGUCUACCUUCUACCUGCUAGUUCCAGGGCUGUCUACCUGCUAGUUCCAGGGCUGUCUACCUGCUAGUUCCAGGGCUGUCUACCUGCUAGUUCCAGGGCUGUCUACCUGCUAGUACCUGGGCUGUCUACCUGCUAGUACCUGGGCUGUCUAGCUGCUAGUUCCAGGGCUGUCUACCUGCUAGUACCAGGGCUGUCUAGCUGCUAGUACCUGGGCUGUCUACCUGCUAGUACCUGGGCUGUCUACCUGCUAGUACCUGGGCUGUCUAGCUGCUAGUUCCAGGGCUGUCUACCUGCUAGUACCAGGGCUGUCUAGCUGCUAGUACCUGGGCUGUCUACCUGCUAGUUCCAGGGCUGUCUACCUGCUAGUACCAGGGCUGUCUACCUUCUACCUGCUAGUACCAGAGCUGUCUAGCUGCUAGUUCCAGGGCUGUCUACCUGCUAGUACCAGGGCUGUCUAGCUGCUAGUACCUGGGCUGUCUACCUGCUAGUUCCAGGGCUGUCUACCUGCUAGUUCCAGGGCUGUCUACCUGCUAGUACCUGGGCUGUCUACCUGCUAGUACCAGGGCUGUCUACCUUCUACCUGCUAGUACCAGGGCUGUCUACCUUCUACCUGCUAGUACCAGGGCUGUCUACCUUCUACCUGCUAGUACCAGGGCUGUCUACCUUCUACCUGCUAGUUCCAGGGCUGUCUACCUGCUAGUUCCAGGGCUGUCUAGCUGCUAGUACCUGGGCUGUCUACCUGCUAGUACCUGGGCUGUCUACCUGCUAGUACCUGGGCUGUCUACCUGCUAGUACCUGGGCUGUCUACCUGCUAGUACCUGGGCUGUCUACCUGCUAGUACCAGGGCUGUCUACCUUCUACCUGCUAGUACCAGGGCUGUCUACCUUCUACCUGCUAGUUCCAGGGCUGUCUACCUGCUAGUACCAGGGCUGUCUAGCUGCUAGUACCUGGGCUGUCUACCUGCUAGUACCUGGGCUGUCUACCUGCUAGUACCUGGGCUGUCUACCUGCUAGUACCUGGGCUGUCUACCUGCUAGUACCUGGGCUGUCUACCUGCUAGUACCAGGUCUGUCUACCUUCUACCUGCUAGUUCCAGGGCUGUCUACCUGCUAGUUCCAGGGCUGUCUACCUGCUAGUACCUGGGCUGUCUAGCUGCUAGUUCCAGGGCUGUCUACCUUCUACCUGCUCUUGAUAACUGUGGCUGCUUUGGGACCUUGGAAUGUCUUUUUGUAUCUGGGGUUACGGGGAGCUGGGUUGGCGAUAGGACGGGGUGGGAGGCCUUAGAUCUAUUACCACUGUGUACGUACCGAGGGCUUUCUGCUAUUUGAUUUGUCGAACUGACACAAUGGUUUGGAAUAUCAAGACGCUUGUUUUCUUUAUUAAACCCUGUUUCUCUGCUGUAUCUGUUGACGUUGGAUGUGUCUCAAAUGGCAACCUGGUCCCUAUUAAGUGCAAUACACAGGGCUCUGGGUCAAAAGUAGUGCACUAUAUAGGGAAUAGGGCUCUGGGUCAAAAGUAGUGCACUAUAUAGGGAAUAGGGCUCUGGGUCAAAAAGUAGUGCACUAUAUAGGGAAUAGGGCUCUGGGUCAAAAAGUAGUGCACUAUAUAGGGAAUAGGGCUCUGGUCUAUAGUAGUGCACUAUAUAGGGAAUAGGGCUCUGGGUCAAAAGUAGUGCACUAUAUAGGGAAUAGGGCUCUGGUCAAAAGUAGUGCACUAUAUAGGGCUCUGGUCUACAGUAGUGCACUAUAUAGGGCUCUGGUCUACAGUAGUGCACUAUAUAGGGAAAAGAUUGCCCUUUGGGACGUUAACUUUAAUAAUGUGUCUGUCACCUGACUGAUCUGGUAGCCAUGGAAACAUCUAUGACCUAACGACAUUCUAUUAGACAGACUUCAUCUCAUUAUUACCCAUCUCUCUGGUCUGGUUGGCUCUCAUUCUGUUGGCCUAGACACGGCUAUCAUUUACAGCAGGGUUGGGGUCCAUUCCUCUUCAGGCCGUGGAAUAAUCUCUAUACCUUCUCUCUCUCUGAGGAGGACCUCUCCUGUGUGCUGUGACAUCUUUUAAGAAUCCAGUAGUUUUUCCAAAAACACUCAUUGAAAACUAAGAAGUAAAUGAGUAAGAAUGAAAUUGAGGCCAACCCUGUUUCACACUAACGUGAUUAUCUCAGCUAAAGUCUAGUUCAGUUCCACAUGGUAUAGUUGUAACACCUUUGUUCAUUCAUCUCAACCAGGAAUGUAUCACUCCAACACACCUCAACUGUAUGCAAGUAAUCUGUCUGUGUACAUAAACCAACCAGCUCUAUUCAUCACCUUCAAGCUUCAUGAACACUGUGUGUGUGUGGGGGGGGGGGGGGGGGGGUGUAGGGACCCAAAUUGUGUAUUCUCCACAAAAAUAUUUCAUAACGAUGAUACCAUGGAGGAAGCAUUUACAAAUAUACUUUUUAAAAGCAUGUUUCGGUUAUUCUUUUUUUUUUUUUUUUUUUUUACAAUUUUCUUUGCAUAAAUAUCAGUUUUUGUUUGGGAAAACUGCAAACUGCAUUUAUCUGUUUGGAAAAUAAAAAACAAAAUGUGUGUAAAA